UUCCCUUUUUCCCUCUCUUAUUCAUCUUUUUAUUCCUUUUUUUUUAAUCCACGUAGGCACUCCCCCAAAAGAAGAAGAGACUCGUGAUCCCGAAACGCCAGAGCAUGCGCAUUCUACAGGUGACAUUUGCCAGUACUAGCAAAGAUAGGGGUGAAACUUUCGGAGAUGUUAUUUUUUCUCCCCAAAACGCAGAAUUUAAAGCUUACUCAUGCCGUUGGUUUUCUAGCUAGCCUUCCGUUUUCUAGGUCAAGGUUUCAUUCCUCAGCUGAUAAACAAAAUCGAACAUCUUUCUAUACCAAAUGGUGAAACCCAGCAGAGCAACACGGACACCUAUUCGCCUUUCCCCUUUGUUUUUUUGUUUUUUGUUUUUUUUUUCCUAAGAGAUUCUUUUUUAAAAUCUUAAUUCCAUAACUUCCAUUUUUUUAUUUAUCAGUUUAUAGAUCCAUGAAAGGCCAUUUCAAAUUUCUUCUUAACAUAUUUUCUCAUUCUGUAUCUAGGUUUCACCACUGGUGUUUCGUGUCUCACGUGUCUCAAUCGCUUGAUCGAGGACACCUCAUAAAAUGAAGGGCCAAAGCCAUUUUUUUCAUCAACGGGCUCGCCACAACCUGAUACUCAACCAAAAUUAAUUUGGUUCAAAUACAUAUUCUUCCUGAAAAACUCACCUUUUCUUUGAUCAACUAUACUCUGAUGCUCAACUCACUGGAGAUUUGUUCUUUCAUAUUGAAGAACUCAUAAAUAUGGGUAACAAUUGUGCCAAUGCUUUUCUGUGGUUGAAGAAAAAUUCUUCUCUGAAUUUAUUGCAAAUUCUGCUAUUAAAAAAAAAGAAAAGAAUUUAUUGUAAAUAAACGAAG
RNAcentral lists this long non-coding RNA (851 nucleotides) under Prunus dulcis (almond). RNAcentral describes it as "sRNA ncRNA". Lineage: Eukaryota; Viridiplantae; Streptophyta; Magnoliopsida; Rosales; Rosaceae. The record is from RNAcentral.